AAUAGAAAGUAAUUAAGGGCGUAUGGCGGAUGCCUAGGCUCACGGAGGCGAUGAAGGACGUGAUAAGCUGCGAUAAGCCUCGGGUAGAUGCAAAUAAUCUUUGAUCCGAGGAUUUCCGAAUGGGACAACCUGACUGUCUGAAUGAUAGUCACCCAUAUUUAAUUAUGGGAGCAAACGCAGGGAACUGAAACAUCUUAGUACCUGUAGGAAAAGAAAAUAAUUUAAUGAUUCCCCUAGUAGUGGCGAGCGAACGGGGAAUAGCCCAAACCUAUGACGUAGUAAUGCGUGAUAGGGGUAGUAGGGUCACGAUAUCGUACUUUGAAAGUGAGGAGAAUGUUCUGGAAAGUUCAAUAAUAUAAGGUGAUAAUCCUGUAUCCGAAGCUUGAUGAGGCGUAGUGAAUCCCUGAGUAGUGCGGAGCACGAGUAAUUCUGCAUGAAUCUGCCGGGACCAUCCGGUAAGGCUAAAUACUCCCGUGAGACCGAUAGUGAAUUAG
This 494-nucleotide ribosomal RNA is filed under the name Atopobium sp. RNAcentral describes it as "partial 23S ribosomal RNA". It matches the Rfam family "Bacterial large subunit ribosomal RNA", at positions 1 to 498 of the family's 2925-position model. The record is from RNAcentral. Lineage: Bacteria; Bacillati; Actinomycetota; Coriobacteriia; Coriobacteriales; Atopobiaceae.